UGGUGGGUAGUUUGACUGGGGCGGUCUCCUCCCAAAGAGUAACGGAGGAGCACGAAGGUUAGCUAAUCCUGGUCGGACAUCAGGAGGUUAGUGCAAUGGCAUAAGCUAGCUUGACUGCGAGAGUGACGGCUCGAGCAGGUGCGAAAGCAGGUCAUAGUGAUCCGGUGGUUCUGAAUGGAAGGGCCAUCGCUCAACGGAUAAAAGGUACUCCGGGGAUAACAGGCUGAUACCGCCCAAGAGUUCAUAUCGACGGCGGUGUUUGGCACCUCGAUGUCGGCUCAUCACAUCCUGGGGCUGAAGUAGGUCCCAAGGGUAUGGCUGUUCGCCAUUUAAAGUGGUACGCGAGCUGGGUUUAGAACGUCGUGAGACAGUUCGGUCCCUAUCUGCCGUGGGCGCUGGAGAAUUGAGGGGGGCUGCUCCUAGUACGAGAGGACCGGAGUGGACGCAUCACUGGUGUUCGGGUUGUCAUGCCAAUGGCACUGCCCGGUAGCUAAAUGCGGAAAAGAUAAGUGCUGAAAGCAUCUAAGCACGAAACUUGCCCCGAGAUGAGUUCUCCCUGACCCUUUAAGG
RNAcentral lists this ribosomal RNA (570 nucleotides) under Enterobacter asburiae. Its description in RNAcentral is "partial 23S ribosomal RNA". It matches the Rfam family "Bacterial large subunit ribosomal RNA", at positions 2259 to 2825 of the family's 2925-position model. Lineage: Bacteria; Pseudomonadati; Pseudomonadota; Gammaproteobacteria; Enterobacterales; Enterobacteriaceae. The record is from RNAcentral.